Molecule: ribosomal RNA, 428 nt
Filed under: Streptococcus sp. oral taxon G62
Lineage: Bacteria; Bacillati; Bacillota; Bacilli; Lactobacillales; Streptococcaceae
Description: bacterial SSU rRNA
Rfam family: Bacterial small subunit ribosomal RNA
Source: RNAcentral
UAGAACGCUGAAGAGAGGAGCUUGCUCUUCUCGGAUGAGUUGCGAACGGGUGAGUAACGCGUAGGUAACCUGCCUGGUAGCGGGGGAUAACUAUUGGAAACGAUAGUAAUACCGCAUGAAAUGGAUUAUCGCAUGAUAAUCGAUGAAAGGUGCAAAUGCAUCACUACCAGAUGGACCUGCGUUGUAUUAGCCAGUUGGUGAGGUAACGGCUCACCAAGGCAACGAUACAUAGCCGACCUGAGAGGGUGAUCGGCCACACUGGGACUGAGACACGGCCCAGACUCCUACGGGAGGCAGCAGUAGGGAAUCUUCGGCAAUGGACGGAAGUCUGACCGAGCAACGCCGCGUGAGUGAAGAAGGUUUUCGGAUCGUAAAGCUCUGUUGUAAGAGAAGAACGAGUGUGAGAGUGGAAAGUUCACACUGUGACG